RNAcentral lists this ribosomal RNA (440 nucleotides) under uncultured bacterium. Its description in RNAcentral is "partial 16S ribosomal RNA". It matches the Rfam family "Bacterial small subunit ribosomal RNA", at positions 338 to 795 of the family's 1533-position model. The record is from RNAcentral.
CCUACGGGGGGCAGCAGUAGGGAAUAUUGCUCAAUGGGGGAAACCCUGAAGCAGCAACGCCGCGUGGAGGAUGAAGGUUUUCGGAUUGUAAACCCCUUUUGUUAGAGAAGAUAAUGACGGUAUCUAACGAAUAAGCACCGGCUAACUCCGUGCCAGCAGCCGCGGUAAUACGGAGGGUGCAAGCGUUACUCGGAAUCACUGGGCGUAAAGAGCGCGUAGGCGGGAUAGCAAGUCAGAUGUGAAAUCCUAUGGCUUAACCAUAGAACUGCAUUUGAAACUGGUAUUCUAGAGUAUGGGAGAGGUAGGUGGAAUUCGUGGUGUAGCGGUAAAAUGCGUAGAGAUCAAGAGGAAUACUCAUUGCGAAGGCGGCCUGCUAGAACAUAACUGACGCUGAUGCGCGAAAGCGUGGGGAGCAAACAGGAUUAGAUACCCGUGUAGUC